GUGAGGAAUAUUGGACAAUGGGCGCAAGCCUGAUCCAGCCAUGCCGCGUGCAGGAAGACGCAUCUAUGGUGUGUAAACUGCUUUUGUACGGGAAGAAACACUCCCUCGUGAGGGAGCUUGACGGUACCGUAAGAAUAAGGAUCGGCUAACUCCGUGCCAGCAGCCGCGGUAAUACGGAGGAUCCAAUCGUUAUCCGGAAUCAUUGGGUUUAAAGGGUCCGUAGGCGGUUUAAUAAGUCAGUGGUGAAAGCCCAUCGCUCAACGAUGGAACGGCCAUUGAUACUGUUAGACUUGAAUUACAAGGAAGUAACUAGAAUAUGUAGUGUAGCGGUGAAAUGCUUAGAUAUUACAUGGAAUACCAAUUGCGAAGGCAGGUUACUACUUGUGGAUUGACGCUGAUGGACGAAAGCGUGGGGAGCGAACAGGAUUAGAAACCCGGGUAGUCC
This 445-nucleotide ribosomal RNA is filed under the name uncultured bacterium. RNAcentral's name for it is "partial 16S ribosomal RNA". It matches the Rfam family "Bacterial small subunit ribosomal RNA", at positions 354 to 796 of the family's 1533-position model. The record is from RNAcentral.